Molecule: long non-coding RNA, 634 nt
Organism: Astatotilapia calliptera (eastern happy)
Lineage: Eukaryota; Metazoa; Chordata; Actinopteri; Cichliformes; Cichlidae
Source: Ensembl
AGAGCUUAAGUUUGAUUUGAUGUUACAAUUAAAAAAGUGUUUGUGUUUUUAUCUGAAGAGUGUGUAAAUAUCUGGUUUCGACUGUAUAUUUGAUGAUGUUGGUGUUUGGCUUGAUUGUCAGCACAAAGAGGGAGAGAGAGGGGGAGAGAGAGGGAGAUGGAGAAUGAGGACAGAACAGAGAUGGAACAAGAGCAGCAUCAGAUCGAGGGCGAUCUGUCUGCCUUUCUGUCCUGGUCUUACGAGCGAGGUGGUAACAGGAAGAAGUCCGUCAACCAGUCGGUGAGUCGCUGUACCCACCCUGGCUCACUCCACCUCCGGACUCGGAAUACCUAGUGAUCAUUUUGGAAAUCCCUCUGUGCCUCACCUGCCUGCCCUCCUGCCAUCACACUCCAUCUGGAGCCCCGGAUCUCAGGUCAGCCUUUCCACGCCACUCAGCCUCCCCUGGAUCUUCAUCAUCCCCCUCUCAAACACUCCAGGUCCCUAACUGCAAAUGUGACUGUUCCCCACUCAGCUCCGUUCCACUUCUCAGGCCUCGUUCCCUCGCCCUAGCCACGUUCCCCUGGGCACGCCACACCAAGGCUCCACGUCUCGUCAUUUUCUGUCUUUGCCACGUUUCCCUUUUUUUUGUUCCCCU